Non-coding RNA from Macaca mulatta (Rhesus monkey), 748 nucleotides. The record is from RefSeq and is a predicted model, not a curated record. NCBI's taxonomy places the organism in Eukaryota, Metazoa, Chordata, Mammalia, Primates, Cercopithecidae.
UCCGCUUGCCUCAGCCUUCCAAAGUGCUGCUGGGAUUACAGAGAUUUGGAACAUAAAAAGUACUGAAUUCCACAUUGGUCUGAAUCUCAAUCAUUUGCUGAACCAUUGCUUCAUAUCACUUUUGAAAUGCAGUUGAUAUGAAUUAAAGAACACAAACUGAAGUGCCUCUGGGGGCCAGGAAGGUAACUAGGAUUCAAUUCCUUGAGGACUAUUAGACUGAGGGCCUCAGUUCCUCACUGGCUGUUGGCUGGCGAACACUCUCAAUUCCUUGCUAUAUGUGCCUCUCCAACAUGGCAGCUUGUUUCAUCAAAGCCAGCAAGUGGGAGGAAGAAGGAAGGAAGAGAGACAAGGAAUCUGCUAGCACGAUGACAAUCACAAUCUUCUGUAACAUAAUCACAGAAGUGACAUCCUGUCACUUUUGCUGUGUUCUAUUGAUUAAAAGUAAGACAGUGAUUUUACCUACACUCCAUAGGAGGGAUAAUUACACUAAGGCAUGAACACUCUAUCCAAGGCUAACAUGAAAUUUGCAUAUCUCAGUUCUGUCAAUGGGAAUUUUUAUGUGCUUCAUUUGCUUUUGUAAGCUCACUGAAUAGUUCUUUGGAUCUGGAUCUGUUGUUAGCUUGUAUUUCUUUUUAACAUAAUCCAUGUUAAGAAAAAUACAAUUGAGUACAAAAGAAAUCACCUAAUAUCCCACAAAAGAUAACAAAAUUCAAAUUGUUAUGUAAUAAAUCUAAUGCUUUUUUCAUGA